This 326-nucleotide ribosomal RNA is filed under the name uncultured eukaryote. RNAcentral describes it as "partial 18S ribosomal RNA". It matches the Rfam family "Eukaryotic small subunit ribosomal RNA", at positions 1470 to 1796 of the family's 1831-position model. The record is from RNAcentral.
UCCUUAGAUGUUCUGGGCCGCACGCGCGCUACACUGAUGCAUUCAACAAGCCUAGCCUUGACCGAGAGGUCCGGGUAAUCUUUGAAACUGCAUCGUGAUGGGGCUAGAUUAUUGCAAUUAUUAAUCUUCAACGAGGAAUGCCUAGUAAGCGUGAUUCAUCAAAUCGCGUUGAUUACGUCCCUGCCCUUUGUACACACCGCCCGUCGCUCCUACCGAUUGAAUGUGUUGGUGAGGAGCUCGGAUUGGCAGCAGUUGGUGGUUCGCCACCGGCUAUUGCUGAGAAGUCCUCCAAACCGCCCCAUUUAGAGGAAGGAGAAGUCGUANCA